UCUACUUGCCGUCUAUCUCUUCAAAACGUCCUACUUCAACAAGUUUGCAAAAUCGUUGCUUCUUACCCUAAUCCUUCUAUGAUUUUUUCACAAGCAGAGAGUCAGCAAAACAUUUAUAAGCUGAGAGAUCAUUGAUUCAGAAACAAUGAAGCCAGGAUCAAAGGGAGUUUCCAAGCCUCACACAUACUCUCAUGGCAUUAAUUCCAGCAAUUCUAAGCUGAAAAAAACUGGUUCCUGUUUUGACUUCACUAAACUAUCGGAGGCCCUGAAUGUUUCACAGCAAAAGGGUACAGUUCUAGACAAUAUUAAUUCUUCUUCUUCAUUUUCUGAUGCCAUUAAUAAAGCUGCCAACAAGAAAGGGACUACUACUAUUGCUUCUGCUUCUUCAACUUAUGACUUGAGUAGUCUCUCGGAGACACUGCAUGACAUUCAAGAGGAAAAGAAGAAAGAGCGAUUCCGUGCAGGCUCGAUGAGAUAUAAGGCUUAUUUUCAACGGCUUUUAAGGGGUAUGUAUACUAAAUCUGAGAUCACACCGCGUGGAGCUGAGCAAACAAAGCUACUUUUUGCAGUUUCAUUAAAAAGUGAAAAUUGCCUUAGAAGAUGUAACUCACAGUGAGAGGUUGGCUAAUACUAUUGCCCUUCUUUUUGAUUGCACGUACAGAUUUACUGUAUAAUCUUGGUUUUCCUUUCAGUGUAAAGAUUGGUUCUUUUUUUUU
RNA transcript from Quercus lobata, 716 nucleotides. RefSeq lists it as uncharacterized. Lineage: Eukaryota; Viridiplantae; Streptophyta; Magnoliopsida; Fagales; Fagaceae. The transcript has 2 exons. The record is from RefSeq and is a predicted model, not a curated record.